This 262-nucleotide ribosomal RNA is filed under the name uncultured archaeon. RNAcentral describes it as "partial 16S ribosomal RNA". It matches the Rfam family "Archaeal small subunit ribosomal RNA", at positions 748 to 1009 of the family's 1478-position model. The record is from RNAcentral.
CAGCCGUAAACUAAUGCUCGCUAGGUGUCAGGCAUGGCGCGACCGUGUCUGGUGCCGCAGGGAAGCCGUGAAGCGAGCCACCUGGGAAGUACGGCCGCAAGGCUGAAACUUAAAGGAAUUGGCGGGGGAGCACAACAACGGGUGGAGCCUGCGGUUUAAUUGGACUCAACGCCGGGAAGCUCACCGGAUAAGACAGCGGAAUGAUUGCCGGGCUGAAGACUCUGCAUGACUAGCUGAGAGGUGGUGCAUGGCGUAGACGUCU